GGGGUAAUAUUUUAAUAAAAAAUAUACUAUUCGCAUUAGUAAGAUUAAUGCUCUA
This 55-nucleotide transfer RNA is filed under the name Dictyocaulus viviparus (bovine lungworm). RNAcentral describes it as "tRNA-Ala". Lineage: Eukaryota; Metazoa; Nematoda; Chromadorea; Rhabditida; Metastrongylidae. The record is from RNAcentral.